Molecule: non-coding RNA, 485 nt
Organism: Phascolarctos cinereus (koala)
Lineage: Eukaryota; Metazoa; Chordata; Mammalia; Diprotodontia; Phascolarctidae
Source: RefSeq, a predicted model, not a curated record
AAUUCUGACUUUUAUUCUUUUCAGAUCCAUAUGCUCCACCGACAAUCUACCUGGAGUUUAAUGGAGAAUUUCCUUCUACUUUCAGGAGCCAUCAGAGGACCUGGAAGAUCACCUGCCUGUAAUCUACUAGCUAGAUGCAGUAGCCAAACUCUCCUCCCGCUACCAAGGAAUGGGCAUCUGACUCAUUGUUCCAGCUGCUGAUGAAACUACAGUGAAUCUGAGGACUGUCUUGUGCUUUAUGUGGGUAGCCACUUGGGAUGGAGAUGGAUGAGAUGGAAAGAGAGCAACUAGAUAAAUUCCCAGGAAGCUAGAAUAGUCUUAACAAUGAAGAACAACUGCAUGGCUCAAGAGGCUGGAACACUUCCAUUUCCCUGUUCUAUAUUCAGGCAUAUUGUUGGACCAGGUUUAGUCCUGGAGGUGCCUGACUUUAAUGGAAGGAAGAGGAAUGUUCCUUUUUCAUACUCAUUGGCUCAUUAAAUAUUUCA